Molecule: non-coding RNA, 272 nt
Organism: Oryza glumipatula
Lineage: Eukaryota; Viridiplantae; Streptophyta; Magnoliopsida; Poales; Poaceae
Source: Rfam
GAUUUCAAAUGGAAAAGUCAUCAACAGGAAAGUUGUAUAACUCAUCAAGAUCUAUAACUUUUAUUUUGGUCAUUUCUUCAUCCGACAAAGUGAUAGUAAUACUGUUUACAAAAUUGAUAUAUCUGUGUUGAUGUUUAAACCAGAUGAGAGAUAUGUGAUUUUUGUAAAGAAUAUUACUAUCACUUUGUCGGAUGAAAAAAUGACCAAAAUAAAAGUUAUAGACCUUGAUGAGUUAUACAACUUUGCUGUUGAUGACUUUUCCAUUUGAAAUC